GUUAACGAAACUCGGUGGCAUUCAUCCGACUAGUACUGCUGUCGGCCGUUCGGCUGUACCACCCUUGAUUGGGUGGCGGCUGUAUGGCUCGACUGGUGGCGCUCGGUUGGUGCUUUUGCCAUCGGUAUGCGCUGAGAGGUCCGCUGCGGUGCGUUGAAGCCGAGCAAAGAGGACCGCGCCCCUCGCGGGUGUGGAAACCUUUGCCGGUCGAGGCGUGUCCGCGGUGAGCCGUUAUUCGCUACUGCAACGCAUGCUAGUAGGCGCAACGGUUGUCACGGGUCGGCGUGAUUGUUGAGCGGUCGCUUGCGACUUGCUUACAGUCGAUGCUGGCUCGUCUGACGAUGCGGUUGCGUCUAGCGUUGCAUCUCGGUGUGAAAGUUGACCACCUAUCCGACCCGUCUUGAAACACGGACCAAGGAGUUUAGCAUAUGCGCGAGUCAUUGGGUGGUAAACCUAAAGGCGAAAUGAAAGUAAAGGUGGCUUUAGUGCUGUUGAUAUGGGAUCUGCAGGCUGCCUGCAGCGCACCAUAGCCCCGUCCUUGUUGCUUGCAAUAGGGCGGAGGUAGAGCGCAUACGCUGAGACCCGAAAGAUGGUGAACUAUGCCUGAGCAGGAUGAAGCCAGAGGAAACU
Molecule: ribosomal RNA, 630 nt
Filed under: Blattophila sp. SES-2009
Lineage: Eukaryota; Metazoa; Nematoda; Chromadorea; Rhabditida; Thelastomatidae
Description: eukaryotic LSU rRNA
Rfam family: Eukaryotic large subunit ribosomal RNA
Source: RNAcentral